RNAcentral lists this unclassified non-coding RNA (559 nucleotides) under Hevea brasiliensis (rubber tree). Lineage: Eukaryota; Viridiplantae; Streptophyta; Magnoliopsida; Malpighiales; Euphorbiaceae. The record is from RNAcentral.
ACCAACUAAAGAGUAGCACCACUUUAUACACAAUCGCCAACAGAAGCCCUCAGUUUCAGAUCUCUCAUAAAGGAUAUUUCAUAUAGCUUGUCGGAAAUGGCUUCAUUCAAGGCAUUUUUGAACAGCCCUGUUGGCCCUAAAACAACUCAUUUUUGGGGUCCUGUAGCCAACUGGGGAUUUGUCAUUGCUGGAUUGGUCGACACACAAAAACCACCAGAGAUGAUAUCAGGCAACAUGACCUCAGCAAUGUGUGUUUAUUCUGCGUUGUUCAUGAGAUUUGCAUGGAUGGUUCAGCCUCGGAAUUAUCUUCUUCUGGCAUGUCAUGCCUCAAAUGAGUCAGUGCAACUCUAUCAACUAUCACGUUGGGGAAAGAGUCAAGGAUAUUUGCAACAGAAUGCAGCCAAAGCAGAGUGAUCUAGUGUUCUUUCUUGUUUAUUUUUGGACAGAUUUGCUUGGCAUUUCUGAAUGCUUUCAUCAAUUGUUGCAAAAAUGUUUAUAAAGAAUACAUUAAACUUUUGCAGUUUGAAUGACUGUUGGAUCUACACGUUAAUAAACCUAG